AGUGAACGCUGGCGGUAGGCCUAACACAUGCAAGUCGAACGGCAGCACAGUAAGAGCUUGCUCUUACGGGUGGCGAGUGGCGGACGGGUGUGGAAUACAUCGGAAUCUACUUUUUCGUGGGGGAUAACGUAGGGAAACUUACGCUAAUACCGCAUACGACCUACGGGUGAAAGCAGGGGAUCUUCGGACCUUGCGCGAUUGAAUGAGCUGAUGUCGGAUUAGCUAGUUGGCGGGGUAAAGGCCCACCAAGGCGACGAUCCGUAGCUGGUCUGAGAGGAUGAUCAGCCACACUGGAACUGAGACACGGUCCAGACUCCUACGGGAGGCAGCAGUGGGGAAUAUUGGACAAUGGGCGCAAGCCUGAUCCAGCCAUACCGCGUGGGUGAAGAAGGCCUUCGGGUUGUAAAGCCCUUUUGUUGGGAAAGAAAAGCAGCAGGUUAAUACCCCGCUGUUCUGACGGUACCCAAAGAAUAAGCACCGGCUAACUUCGUG
RNAcentral lists this ribosomal RNA (492 nucleotides) under uncultured bacterium. Its description in RNAcentral is "partial 16S ribosomal RNA". It matches the Rfam family "Bacterial small subunit ribosomal RNA", at positions 29 to 507 of the family's 1533-position model. The record is from RNAcentral.